UGCGCAGGCGGAAGAAUAAGUCAGUGGUGAAAUACUGCCGCUCAACGGUAGGGCUGCCAUUGAUACUGUUUUUCUUGAGUAUGGUUGAGGUAGGCGGAAUGUGCGGUGUAGCGGUGAAAUGCAUAGAUAUCGCCCAGAACGCCGAUUGCGAAGGCAGCUUACUAAACCAUUACUGACGCUGAGGCACGAAAGCGUGGGUAGCGAACAGGAUUAGAUACCCUGGUAGUCC
This 229-nucleotide ribosomal RNA is filed under the name uncultured bacterium. RNAcentral describes it as "partial 16S ribosomal RNA". It matches the Rfam family "Bacterial small subunit ribosomal RNA", at positions 568 to 796 of the family's 1533-position model. The record is from RNAcentral.